Molecule: ribosomal RNA, 794 nt
Filed under: uncultured bacterium
Lineage: Bacteria
Description: bacterial SSU rRNA
Rfam family: Bacterial small subunit ribosomal RNA
Source: RNAcentral
GAGGGGAAACGACAUCGAAAGCUUGCUUUUGAUGGGCGUCGACCGGCGCACGGGUGAGUAACGCGUAUCCAACCUGCCCAUCACUUGGGGAUAACCUUGCGAAAGUAAGACUAAUACCCAAUGAUAUCUCUAGAAGACAUCUGAAAGAGAUUAAAGAUUUAUCGGUGAUGGAUGGGGAUGCGUCUGAUUAGCUUGUUGGCGGGGUAACGGCCCACCAAGGCGACGAUCAGUAGGGGUUCUGAGAGGAAGGUCCCCCACAUUGGAACUGAGACACGGUCCAAACUCCUACGGGAGGCAGCAGUGAGGAAUAUUGGUCAAUGGGCGAGAGCCUGAACCAGCCAAGUAGCGUGCAGGAUGACGGCCCUAUGGGUUGUAAACUGCUUUUAUAAGGGAAUAAAGUGAGUCUCGUGAGACUUUUUGCAUGUACCUUAUGAAUAAGGACCGGCUAAUUCCGUGCCAGCAGCCGCGGUAAUACGGAAGGUCCGGGCGUUAUCCGGAUUUAUUGGGUUUAAAGGGAGCGUAGGCCGGAGAUUAAGCGUGUUGUGAAAUGUAGACGCUCAACGUCUGCACUGCAGCGCGAACUGGUUUCCUUGAGUACGCACAAAGUGGGCGGAAUUCGUGGUGUAGCGGUGAAAUGCUUAGAUAUCACGAAGAACUCCGAUUGCGAAGGCAGCUCACUGGAGCGCAACUGACGCUGAAGCUCGAAAGUGCGGGUAUCGAACAGGAUUAGAUACCCUGGUAGUCCGCACGGUAAACGAUGGAUGCCCGCUGUUGGUCUGAAUAGGUCAGCGGCC